ACCGAGUCAGCGUUUGGCUAGGCGCGCGAGUGGCUCGUCUCCUCCCUCGAUUCAGUAUUGCCCUUCCCAAACCUAGCUCCCCUGAUUCAGCUUCCCCUGGAAUAAGGUCCGUUUCCGGCGGCCAGGUCGGCCCUCUCCUUCCACCCUCGCCUCACCCCUCGGUCCCCUCCCCUUCGGCCGCCCUCUCCCUCCCCUGCUGGCCCGCCCAUGCCCAGAAGCCCUCCAACCCUCUGGCGCUCUGCGGUGGCCUCUGCGGCGGCGCGGCUCCGCUAGGUGCCGGUCCGCCUCCGGCCUCCUGGCUCCCCGGCCCAAGUAGACGCCCAGCCCCUCCUGGCUCAUCUCCACGGCUACGCCCUGGACAUUCUGCAUCCAUCUACUGAUCUACAUCUAGUUUAGCAUCCAACAAGUGAUGUAGAUGAAAAAGAAGGAUAUUAGCUUAUUCGAGUUGUGGGACAAAUCUUCAAUGUCAAGAAAGUUAACUUCUACGUCCACGCCAGUUACAUUCGUUGAGAGAGAAUUUUACAAUCAAGUGAAGGAAGAAGAUGUCAUCAAUCUCUUUUAGAAAGGCGACCGCAAAGUUAUAUUUUAAGAAGGAUAUCAUCGCUUUAUCAAUCAAAAGAUACUUAUGUAUUCAUGUUGUUAUGGUGUGAUACAUUGAAAUAUUGGUACUACCAUUAUGCUAGUGUUGUUUUGUUCAUA
Molecule: long non-coding RNA, 699 nt
Organism: Aegilops tauschii subsp. strangulata
Lineage: Eukaryota; Viridiplantae; Streptophyta; Magnoliopsida; Poales; Poaceae
Source: RefSeq, a predicted model, not a curated record